RNAcentral lists this ribosomal RNA (309 nucleotides) under uncultured bacterium. RNAcentral's name for it is "partial 16S ribosomal RNA". It matches the Rfam family "Bacterial small subunit ribosomal RNA", at positions 504 to 809 of the family's 1533-position model. The record is from RNAcentral.
AGAGACAGCAGCAGCCGCGGUAAUACGUAGGGUGCAAGCGUUAAUCGGAAUUACUGGGCGUAAAGCGUGCGCAGGCGGUGGUUUAAGUCCGUUGUGAAAGCCCUGGGCUCAACCUGGGAAUUGCAGUGGAUACUGGGUCACUAGAGUGUGGUAGAGGAUAGUGGAAUUUCCGGUGUAGCAGUGAAAUGCGUAGAGAUCGGAAGGAACAUCUGUGGCGAAGGCGACUAUCUGGGCCAACACUGACACUGAGGCACGAAAGCGUGGGGAGCAAACAGGAUUAGAUACCCGCGUAGUCCCUGUCUCUUAUAU